GCAUUAACUCCUGCAGGACUACGCUAUUUUCGGAUUAAUACAUACAAAUAUCAAAAUAUAAACGGGAUCUAUUUAUACAUCCCUGGUGGUCUCAUCUUUCUCUCACAGUUUCAGGGUAAACCACUUGGUUUAUUUUUAACCCUGCUGUCGCUCAGGGGUUACAGGUGUAUCGACAGCCGUGUUGCCAGAUUGGGCAGAUUUCCAGCCCAAUCUGGCCACAUUGAUGGACAGGACUCCGGAAAUGACGUGGACCCUCACCAGCGGACUGGAAAAAUAAGCCCGUACUGUAACAUAAUUUUGCCUUCAAACUAAAAGCCCUCAUCAGAUAUUUUGAGAUUUGUCUUACCGACAUAUUGAGAUGCUCAUGUGUACUUUAUAACGCAGCCCCUUGUAUUUACUCCUUGUACUUAUAACGUUGCCUACCGUUCGUAGGAUGACCACAGAAGAGAAGCAUUUUGUGGAAACUUUGAGUGAAUGUUUACUUUGAAAAGAGAAAGCCCUGAAGACCGGAAGUGUUGAUGUGUGUUCCUGCGCGGUGCUUGACUAGCGUUGCCAGAUUGGGCCAGAUUUCCCGUCCAAUCUGUCAACCCUGGCUGAAGUGCGCUUGACCAGUGUUGCCAGAUUGAGCGGGAAAUCUGACCCAAUCUGGCAACAAUGCGCUUGACGCAGGAGCAGCCAGGUCCACUGAGAAAGACCGAGAGGGACGAGGACUCAGCGGGGCGUCAUGGAAGAUCCAUCAGACCCCCCCUCCCCCUGCCUGGUAGAAGCAGCGACCUGCUCGGUCAUCUGCAGCCUGACUCAUUUGAAUCUGAUUUCUUGCCAGAGCCCCUCGUUAAGCUGGAGUCAGCCCCCCUGGACCAGGGGGUGCAAAAGCUCCCUGCUGGGGGGGGUGUGUGUGUUGGGGAUGGGGGGAGAAGCUGGGAGAAAAAUGCUGAACCAGCCUGCUGAACCUCACCCUUCUAAAACUGUAAAGGCCAAUUUCCACCAGAACCGCCACGGAAGCUGUACGACAGCGAAGCCGCUGUGUUCCGUACUGCAAUCCCCACUAGAAGUGGUCCGGAUAUGUUCCGGCUGA
RNAcentral lists this long non-coding RNA (1075 nucleotides) under Gadus morhua (Atlantic cod). RNAcentral's name for it is "lncRNA (ENSGMOG00000032951.1)". The record is from RNAcentral. Lineage: Eukaryota; Metazoa; Chordata; Actinopteri; Gadiformes; Gadidae.